UUUGUAUAAUGGGUCAGCGACUUAUAUUCUGUAGCAAGGUUAACCGUAUAGGGGAGCCGAAGGGAAACCGAGUCUUAACUGGGCGUUAAGUUGCAGGGUAUAGACCCGAAACCCGGUGAUCUAGCCAUGGGCAGGUUGAAGGUUGGGUAACACUAACUGGAGGACCGAACCGACUAAUGUUGAAAAAUUAGCGGAUGACUUGUGGCUGGGGGUGAAAGGCCAAUCAAACCGGGAGAUAGCUGGUUCUCCCCGAAAGCUAUUUAGGUAGCGCCUCGUGAACUCAUCUUCGGGGGUAGAGCACUGUUUCGGCUAGGGGGUCAUCCCGACUUACCAACCCGAUGCAAACUGCGAAUACCGAAGAAUGUUAUCACGGGAGACACACGGCGGGUGCUAACGUCCGUCGUGAAGAGGGAAACAACCCAGACCGCCAGCUAAGGUCCCAAAGUCACAGUUAAGUGGGAAACGAUGUGGGAAGGCUCAGACAGCCAGGAUGUUGGCUUAGAAGCAGCCAUCAUUUAAAGAAAGCGUAAUAGCUCACUGGUCGAGUCGGCCUGCGCGGAAGAUGUAACGGGGCUAAACUGUGCACCGAAGCUGCGGCAGCGACGCUUAUGCGUUGUUGGGUAGGGGAGCGUUCUGUAAGCCUGCGAAGGUGUCCUGUGAGGGAUGCUGGAGGUAUCAGAAGUGCGAAUGCUGACAUAAGUAACGAUAA
This 709-nucleotide ribosomal RNA is filed under the name Salmonella enterica subsp. enterica serovar Kentucky. Its description in RNAcentral is "partial 23S ribosomal RNA". It matches the Rfam family "Bacterial large subunit ribosomal RNA", at positions 607 to 1315 of the family's 2925-position model. The record is from RNAcentral. Lineage: Bacteria; Pseudomonadati; Pseudomonadota; Gammaproteobacteria; Enterobacterales; Enterobacteriaceae.